Nematostella vectensis (starlet sea anemone) is the source of this 546-nucleotide long non-coding RNA. RefSeq lists it as uncharacterized. NCBI's taxonomy places the organism in Eukaryota, Metazoa, Cnidaria, Anthozoa, Actiniaria, Edwardsiidae. The record is from RefSeq and is a predicted model, not a curated record. The transcript has 2 exons.
GGUUCUCAAGGAUUUCGUCAUCACUUAUCAAUGCGUUUUUGAAGCGGCGGAACACUUCACACUGAAACAGAACAGGAAUAUAUCAAUUGCAAUGCUACCCAAAAGGAACGAAAAGUCAACGUUUUGGAAGGGCUUCCGAUAGUGGAUGAAUGAACACAAGGACAAGCUCUGCCUGUCUGCUGCUGAAGGCAAGCAUUAUUUUGCAUAAAGGGGUGAUCCUCCUGAAUCCAUGAAACCCCCAUGGGAUACACCACUGCUACCCACGGAUCAAGAAUGUUAAACCAGGCUGCUAUAUCUGGAUAUUACCUGUAUGUAAGCCAAGGCGAGUUCACGGCAGUGGUACACUUGACUGUCAUUGCGUGCCGUGAAGGAAUCCUAUUGACAGAAUAGCAUUACAUAGAUUAGUAUACAAGAGAUAUUGGAAUCCAUAAUCACUUUCACAAGAUUUUCAUUAUUUAACAUUUUUUUAAAAUUAAAGUGACUGUUUAUAGUCAAUAUCUAUUAUGAUGUAGUUCCACCGCAAAUAAAUUCUCUUACCUUCCCCAU